GUGCUUCUUAGCAGCCUUCUGGAAGAGAUCUCGCAGGUCUGCUUUCUGCGGGGCAGAAGUAAAGGGGUGAAGAGUAGCCCUGGCCCUCCAGGCAGACAGGAGGCAGAGGGGGCACCUCACCCGACGACUGUGACCCCCACAUGGGCAGAGGACACUUACUGUGUGGGACCCCUCCAUCAUGGCCUGCACAAAGGCUGUGGACUCGCUGGUACAGGAACGCACAGUCUCAGUCCGUCCCUCCCGGAACAUUCUGGUCAUUGAGGCCUCAUAGGUCAGGCAGAACUUACCCCUGUCCUGGGAUAUACAGAGGGGUGAAUCUGGCAGGUGGACCCUGGUACCACCCUGCCCUCUCAGCAGCGGGAGGCGGGGCUCCUACCCGGAAGUGAGCCAGCUGCAGCGCGAUCUGCACAAAGGCAUCAGGGCUGGUCCGGCACUUCUUGAUGAGGCCUUUGCCAAAGGGCAGGAACUGGAAGCAGUACAACUCCACGUCGUCUGCCAACGCCUUGGCCACCUGGUAGGAACUCUCGAUGACCGCCUGGCACUGCCAAGACAUGGGAAGGGUCAGCUGAGGGUAGGGCUCUCCAAGCAGGACUCUGGGUCAUGUCUAGGAGGCAUGACGUUUAGCUGGUGGAGAAAGGGCACAGCCGGCCAAGACAUCUUCAGGAGGAGGGUACGCAAAAGACAGUCUGAGGGAGAAUCAGCCCCCAGAGGCCGGGCUCAGCUUUGUGGGUAAGAGGGAAGUGCUGAAAAUGCUCCAGGGGCCUGUGAGUGCCUCCUCCAUCUCAUGGCUGUCUCUAAACACAGAUGGCCCCAGGGGCGGUGGGUGGUCUCUGUCCUCCCUGAAGCCAGUUUGGACUCUACAGGUAUCCUGAGACGUGCCCUGUGCCUUCCCGAGGGCUGGGCCAGGCAGUGAGGCCAGCAGGGGAGGAGGAGGCUCAGGCCUCGUCGGGGCUGUACCCACCUGCUGCUUUGUGGUCUCACACCUGCUCUGGGAGCUUCCAACCCACCUGUUUUGGAAUGUCCCACUGCAGCCGUGUAGGAGGUGCGAGCGCAGGGUUCGGUUUGCCCAGGCAGUGCCCGGUCUCCGUGUAGCCCAGGUGGAAGCUGUCUGUGCCCAGGACAAACUGCAGGGAGAGGAUGAGACUGAGAGGCUGGCCUCAUCCCCUACAGCCUGCCCUGCAGGUUCCCUCUGCAAGGCUAUUACCUCCCAGAGGUGCCCAAUGAUGGGAGCAUCUGCCCACGCAUGCUCUGCAUUGAGACCCAACUGGCCAUUCUUGAAGGAAAUGAGAGUGAAGGAUUUGUCAAACCACCUGCAGGAAGAGUAGACACAUGAAGAACCAAAGCUGGGAAUGUCCAGAGGUGCCUGACCUGCAACCCCAACCUUUAACCCUAAUUACUAACCCUAUUCUCUCUCUCUUUUUCUCUCACUUUUUUUUUAAAUUGAGAUGGAAUCUU
RNAcentral lists this long non-coding RNA (1455 nucleotides) under Homo sapiens (human). RNAcentral describes it as "HSALNT0279433". The record is from RNAcentral. Lineage: Eukaryota; Metazoa; Chordata; Mammalia; Primates; Hominidae.